AAAUGUUCACAUUUCCGGCGACGCGGGAGCGCACGCCGCCACAGGAGAGUCAGCUCACUAGCCAACGGUCUAGUACACUUUAAUGAAACGGGACCAGGCUUGGCGAGCAAUAGCAGAUGCCCUCAGCGUAGACGUGACGCAAGUAAUGAAGCGGUGGAAAUCCCUACGCGACACUUUCAUGAAAAAACGCAAAGAAGUGACAACAACGAAAAGUGGUGCCGGCGCGGACAGUGUUUUCAGUGUGCGGUGGCCCCAUUACAAUCAACUACUGUUUCUCCUUGACACAAUGGAAUAUCCUGAGACAAGCGGGAACCUCGUGGAUAUUCAAGACAUCGACUCAUUCGACGAAACAAGCACCGCAUAUCUUCAGACUGAAAGAACUAGCAUCAUAGACAUUGAAGCCAAUCUGGCUGCUAGCAACUUUCCUACCACCCCUGGGCAGGAAGAUCGGAGUGGAUGCUCCAGCCCCACGUCAGCGCCAUCACCAGCCAGCAGCGCAUCAUCUGGUCCACAGAAAAGGAAACGGGGCCAUGACAAGGUCUUUGAAAGAGAAAUAGGAAUCCUGGGAGAAUUGGCUUCAAAACGAACCGACGCUUCUGAACUAUUGGGCUUUUUAUAGGGUACAAGCACAGACGAGUCCCGCAACAUCUGCGAGGACAAUUUGAGUUGGAA
Dermacentor albipictus is the source of this 672-nucleotide long non-coding RNA. RefSeq lists it as uncharacterized. The record is from RefSeq and is a predicted model, not a curated record. Lineage: Eukaryota; Metazoa; Arthropoda; Arachnida; Ixodida; Ixodidae.